This 629-nucleotide ribosomal RNA is filed under the name uncultured bacterium. Its description in RNAcentral is "bacterial SSU rRNA". It matches the Rfam family "Bacterial small subunit ribosomal RNA", at positions 88 to 731 of the family's 1533-position model. The record is from RNAcentral.
UGGAUUAGUGGCGAACGGGUGAGUAACACGUGGGCAAUCUGCCCUUCACUCUGGGACAAGCCCUGGAAACGGGGUCUAAUACCGGAUAACACUCUGUCCCGCAUGGGACGGGGUUGAAAGCUCCGGCGGUGAAGGAUGAGCCCGCGGCCUAUCAGCUUGUUGGUGGGGUAAUGGCCUACCAAGGCGACGACGGGUAGCCGGCCUGAGAGGGCGACCGGCCACACUGGGACUGAGACACGGCCCAGACUCCUACGGGAGGCAGCAGUGGGGAAUAUUGCACAAUGGGCGAAAGCCUGAUGCAGCGACGCCGCGUGAGGGAUGACGGCCUUCGGGUUGUAAACCUCUUUCAGCAGGGAAGAAGCGAAAGUGACGGUACCUGCAGAAGAAGCGCCGGCUAACUACGUGCCAGCAGCCGCGGUAAUACGUAGGGCGCAAGCGUUGUCCGGAAUUAUUGGGCGUAAAGAGCUCGUAGGCGGCUUGUCACGUCGGAUGUGAAAGCCCGGGGCUUAACCCCGGGUCUGCAUUCGAUACGGGCUAGCUAGAGUGUGGUAGGGGAGAUCGGAAUUCCUGGUGUAGCGGUGAAAUGCGCAGAUAUCAGGAGGAACACCGGUGGCGAAGGCGGAUCUCUG